RNAcentral lists this ribosomal RNA (406 nucleotides) under uncultured bacterium. RNAcentral's name for it is "partial 16S ribosomal RNA". It matches the Rfam family "Bacterial small subunit ribosomal RNA", at positions 30 to 526 of the family's 1533-position model. The record is from RNAcentral.
AUUGAACGCUGGCGGCAGGCCUAACACAUGCAAGUCGAGCGAGCGGCGGACGGGUGAGUAAUGUCUGUGAAACUGCCUGAUGGAGGGGGAUAACUACUGGAAACGGUAGCUAAUACCCCAUACCAUCAGAUGUGCCCAGAUGGGCUUAGCUGGUCGGUGGGGUAACGGCUCACCUAGGCGACGAUCCCUAUCUGGUCUGAGAGGUUGACCAGCCACACUGGAACUGAGACACGGCCCAGACUCCUACGGGAGGCAGCAGUGGGGAAUAUUGCACAAUGGGCGGAAGCCUGAUGGAGCAAUGCCGCGUGUGUGAAGAAGGACUUCGGGUUGUAAAGCACUUUCAGCGGGGAGGCGUUAACCGCAGAAGAAGCACCGGCUAACUCCGUGCCAGCAGCCGCGGUAAUAC